This 483-nucleotide ribosomal RNA is filed under the name uncultured bacterium. Its description in RNAcentral is "partial 16S ribosomal RNA". It matches the Rfam family "Bacterial small subunit ribosomal RNA", at positions 30 to 506 of the family's 1533-position model. The record is from RNAcentral.
AUUGAACGCUGGCGGUAGGCCUAACACAUGCAAGUCGAGCGGAUGAAGGGAGCUUGCUCCUGGAUUCAGCGGCGGACGGGUGAGUAAUGCCUAGGAAUCUGCCUGGUAGUGGGGGAUAACGUCCGGAAACGGGCGCUAAUACCGCAUACGUCCUGAGGGAGAAAGUGGGGGAUCUUCGGACCUCACGCUAUCAGAUGAGCCUAGGUCGGAUUAGCUAGUUGGUGGGGUAAAGGCCUACCAAGGCGACGAUCCGUAACUGGUCUGAGAGGAUGAUCAGUCACACUGGAACUGAGACACGGUCCAGACUCCUACGGGAGGCAGCAGUGGGGAAUAUUGGACAAUGGGCGAAAGCCUGAUCCAGCCAUGCCGCGUGUGUGAAGAAGGUCUUCGGAUUGUAAAGCACUUUAAGUUGGGAGGAAGGGCAGUAAGUUAAUACCUUGCUGUUUUGACGCUACCAACAGAAUAAGCACCGGCUAACUUCGU